This 1603-nucleotide ribosomal RNA is filed under the name Steatornis caripensis (oilbird). Its description in RNAcentral is "16S ribosomal RNA". It matches the Rfam family "Bacterial large subunit ribosomal RNA". The record is from RNAcentral. Lineage: Eukaryota; Metazoa; Chordata; Aves; Caprimulgiformes; Steatornithidae.
AGCCCAAUCCUAGCUCAACCCACCAAAACAAAACAAUCAAAAACCCACUCCAAUCCACCAAUUAAAACAUUCUCACAAGCCCAGUAUAGGCGAUAGAAAAGCACCCACCUUGACGCCAUAGCGAUCAGUACCGCAAGGGAAAGGUGAAAGAAUAGUGAACAAACAAAGCAAUAAAUAGCAAAGAUACACCCUUGUACCUCUCGCAUCAUGAUUUAGCAAGUACUCCCAGACAAAACGAAUUAAAGCCUGCUACCCCGAAACUCGAGCGAGCUACUUACAGGCAGCUACUUCCGAGCGAACCCGUCUCUGUUGCAAAAGAGUGGGACGACCUGUUAGUAGAGGUGAAAAGCCAACCGAGCCGAGUGAUAGCUGGUUGCCUGUGAAACGAAUCUAAGUUCACCCUUAAUUUUCCUCCCCGGACACCCAACCCAACCCCCACGUAGAAAAUCAAGAGCAAUUUAAAGGGGGUACAGCUCCUUUAAAAAAGAACACAACCUCCUCUAGCGGAUAACCACCAACUUGCACCCUCCCAUGUAGGCCUUUAAGCAGCCACCAACAAAGAAUGCGUCAAAGCUCCUCACCUUAAAAAAUCUAAAAACAACACGACUCCCUUAUCACUAACAGGCUAACCUAUAAUGAAUAGAAGAAUUAAUGCUAAAAUAAGUAACUAGGGAAAAUUCCCUCUAAGCGCAAACUUACAUACCCCUAUUAUUAACAGCCCCCAACUAAUACUACAACCUUAAACCAGACUAAAUAUUAUCACACUCUGUUACCCCAACUCAGGAGCGCUUGUCCAGAAAGAUUAAAACCUGUAAAAGGAACUAGGCAAACCCAAGGCCCGACUGUUUACCAAAAACAUAGCCUUCAGCUCCACCAAGUAUUGAAGGUGAUGCCUGCCCAGUGACACCACGUUCAACGGCCGCGGUAUCCUAACCGUGCGAAGGUAGCGCAAUCAAUUGUCUCAUAAAUCGAGACUUGUAUGAAUGGCUAAACGAGGUCUUAACUGUCUCUUACAGAUAAUCAGUGAAAUUGAUCUUCCUGUGCAAAAGCAGGAAUAAGCACAUAAGACGAGAAGACCCUGUGGAACUUAAAAAUCAGUAGCCACCCUCAUACCAAACUAGAAACCUAAUAGGCUCAACUACCCAAAAGUGCUGGCUCACAUUUUUCGGUUGGGGCGACCUUGGAGAAAAGAAAAUCCUCCAAAAACAAGACCACACAUCUUAACAAAGAGCUACCUCUCAACGUGCUAACAGCGACCAGACCCAAUAUAAUUGAUCAAUGGACCAAGCUACCCCAGGGAUAACAGCGCAAUCUCCUCCAAGAGCCCAUAUCGACAAGGAGGUUUACGACCUCGAUGUUGGAUCAGGACAUCCUAAUGGUGCAGCCGCUAUUAAGGGUUCGUUUGUUCAACGAUUAACAGUCCUACGUGAUCUGAGUUCAGACCGGAGCAAUCCAGGUCGGUUUCUAUCUAUGAAAAAUUUUCCCCAGUACGAAAGGACCGGAAAAAUGAGGCCAAUACCACAUGCACGCCUCCUCUAUAAGUGAUGCACUCAACUAAACCACCAAAAGAACACCCAUACUAACUCCUCCUAGAAAAGGAUCG